This is a long non-coding RNA of Lucilia sericata (common green bottle fly), 6749 nucleotides long. RefSeq lists it as uncharacterized. NCBI's taxonomy places the organism in Eukaryota, Metazoa, Arthropoda, Insecta, Diptera, Calliphoridae. The transcript is spliced from 2 exons. The record is from RefSeq and is a predicted model, not a curated record.
GGUUUGCUGGAUGUUUGCCACAUUCCUAGUUGCCAUUGAAAGCUCAACGAGCAAACUGUAAGCACAACAAACGCAAUUCUAAAGCAAUACAAACCAAAAAAAAAUUAACAUUAAAGUGAUACAUAUUAUAACAAUUAUUAAGAGUUUGACAAAAAGUUUAAAUUUUUAUAAAACAAAAACAAAAAUAUUGCUAAAAAAUAAUUUUUUUAUAUUAUUUUUUUUUUUAAGAAAAGGAAAUGAGUUUUAAAUAAAAAAAAUUAAAAUGACAUCAACUAUAAAAUUUUUUCAAUUUUAAACAAAUCCAUCAAAAGUGAUGACAUACAAGUUUAAACACAAAAUUAGUGAGAAUUUUUCUUAAAACAACUACAACAAUAAAUAAAUAAUGACAAAAUUCAAACUAAAAACAAAAAAAAAAUAAAUCCCCUCCGUUAAUUAAAUGCAAAUGUCUGUGCAGAUAAUGAUAAGUGAUGUUGAAUUGUUGGUUGGGUCAUACUUUGCGUUAGUGGCUAAAAAAUAACAUUUACAAUUAAAAUAACUUGCAGCAAUAUGUUUCCGAAACUUAAAUUGUAUAUUUUUAUUUACCUAUUCUAUAAUUAUUAUUAUUUAAAUUUUAAAAAAAAUAACAACAAACACAAAUUUUAUAUUUAAAUAUAUGUAAUUAAAUAUGUCAAUUGAAAAAAUCAAAAUCAAAAUCAAAUCUAAAAUUUAUUUUAGAUUUCCUCCUCAACAUCUAUUCAACAACGACAGCGUCAUCGCCUACAACAUCAGCAAAACACGAAUUUAAAAUUCAUGAUCAAGGUAAAUAGUUAAUUGUUUUUUUAAUUAAAUAAACAAAAUUAUUAUAUGUAUUGCAAUUUUAAAUUGAUUUAAUAUAUUCGGACAAAUAUCUUAACAAUUUAAUAAAUCACUUGUGUUUAAGUGUUAAAGUACUAUUUUUAAACAACUUUUAUUAUAAUUUAAUGAGUUGUUUUAGUACAAUUAAAAAAACAAAAUUUUGUUAAAUUAUUAUUAAUUGUUAAUUUCAUUAAACUAUUGUUUAAAAGUCCCAUAUUUAGAAUAUAAUUUUUAUUGUAAUAUAAUUUUUAUUAUAUUAUAUAAUUUUUAUUGUAAUGGACAAACAAAUAAAUAACCUCUGACCUAUUCUGAGUAUGCAUAUUACCUAACCUACAAAAUAUGUAACACAUUUCCAAUUCGCUAACUAGACAUAAAAUGCCUUAAAAGUGUUAAUUAACAACAUCUUAAGAGAUCACCAUUUUGAACUAAAAGUACUCUUUACUCUUUCCUAAUUAAAUUUGGAUUAUCCUAGUAAAAAUAAUAAGAAAUUGAACGAAAUAGUUAGGUUAGAUCAAUAGUAAAACGUACAUUACCACAGAUCCGAAAAAAAUAACCUAUAUCCCUUUCGGUCCUGUUGUGUGCUGACUUACAUAGAAUAUGUGGAUGCAAAAAUCGUACAAGCUCAGUAUCUCACUUUCGUGUACGUAGUUUCUUUGAAAUUCCCAUUCAGUAUUCUUAAAGCAUGUAAUAUCAGGAUUAAAAUUGAUUCCAAUAUGUUUAGAUCUAAUUUCGACGAAAGCCAGGCAUAGAAAGUGUUUCAGUGUUGAACUGUACUCUUCGCAUCUUCUACAUUCGUUUGAAUCUGUUUGAUCGAUUUUCUAUAGUUGUGCCCGUAAAUUUAUGUGUCCAUUUUGAGCAGAUUCCUCGUUGAGGUCACCCCAUAGUAUUUUUGUGGUCCUAAACACUGUUUCAUUAUUGCAACUGGCCGUAUGGAAUUCUCUUAUCCAUAUUUUCAAUAAAGUCCUAGUUGUGUCGAAUGAUGGUGCAUUCGUCCGAUUAAUUUCCUUAAGUUAGGUUGAUCCGAAGAAAUACAGAUAGGCUACUGUGCGCUCAUUUAAUGGAAAAUGUUUGUUGGUAAAAACUAAAAACCCUUAUAUAGUAUAGUAUGCAUUAUCCUCCAAUGUUCAGAAACUCAGUUUCCUAGACGUAAUUCUUAAGGCUUUUCCUAUCAAUGUUCGUGAGGGAUGUUAUAUCCGGAAUAAUAUCACUCCAAAGAUAUUUUGAUUUAAUUUUUGCGAAAGCCUAACAACAACAAAGAAAGCGCUCCCUACAUGCUCUACAUUCAUCUGAAUCCGCACGUCCAAUUUUGUAUAGCUGUGCCCGUAAUCCUGUGAAUCCACUUAGAAUAUGUACCAUCAUACUUAACUCAAACUAGCUCAUUUUGAGGAGGCUUCUCGUCCUGCUCUCUAUAGGGUCACGCUAUAGGAUCUUUGUGGUUCUAACCAACGUUUCAUUAUUCCAAGAGGCCUAACCCACUUUUUAAUUCUACCCUCAUUGCGUCAAAUGUUUUUGGGUUCGUGAGGUUAAGCUGCCAUCCUUUUAAAGCUAUUACAUUCUCUCUUUCGUUACCGGUUACUCCUGAGUGGCCUAAUACCCAUAUAAUUAACUCCCUUAAGUACUUUUUUUUUAAAGCAAGUAUAUUCGGUCUCUCCUAACCGAUGGGCACCGAGUUCUCCGACUGAUCCAUUUCUUACCACUGAAAGAGUAUUAGUUUAUAGCUCUCUUACAGUCUAAGACUGUUUUAGAUUAAAUCCUAUAAGUUGUAGCUGUCGCGGAAAAUAUCUUAAUAAUGGCAAUAUAUUCAAUCAAAUCCAUUUUACACAUUUCGUGAUAGCUCGGACUUCCAUAUGGUAGCUAGUGUUGUUGUUAGAUAGUUGGUUAUAUAUCUCGAUUUGUAUGUUUUCAAUUAAAUCCCCAGACCCGUUUUGUCUCGCAAUUUAAAGAUAUUCGUGUAUCAGCAAAUUUCCGCAGAGGUUUACUCCAAUGUUACGCUUUAGCACGAUCUCGUAUAUAGGAUCAAUGCCUCACAUUUCCAACCCAUUUCUCUUUCCGUUUACGUUCUUAUUCACGCAAGUCUGGUGUUUGUUUAUGUAUGUAUGUUCAUAUGCAUAGUUCGAAGGUUUUAUAUCCAGAUAUUUGAUAUCUGACCGCAACCAAUACAAUUAUUACUUUGUUGCCAAGGAUAUUCGUCUUAGAAAAUUAAUAAGACCAAUUUAAGCCACAUUUUUUAAAACAAUAUGAUAUAAAGUAACGGAUACCAGAUUUGAAUUUCCAAAAAUAUAAGCAAAACAUUAUACCGUCGGAAAAGAGAUUAAUUUUCCUUUUAAAUGUAAUGCAAUAGAUAAGCAUCUGGCUCCAAACUAAAAAAAUUCUAAGUGAAAAAAGUGAGUUUUGUGUUAUUAGAUAUUAACGUUAAAAUUUAAUUUUUAAAGUGCAUUUUAUAAAGUACCGGAUACUUUCAGAAUUACAUCGAUUCAAAGGGGGACUGAAUUAAUUGUGAAUUUUAUCGUAUACUAGUAUUUUUAAGCCAAUUAUAAACAUUAAAAUUUUAUAAUCAAGAGGUCCUUGUAUGGGUCAAAAACUAACCUAUGCUUAAUAAUAGCGAUGGCUGCAUAACAAACAUUUAUGUAAAUAAAUCUAAAACUGUCAUUUCAUUCUAAAGUUUCGUAACAUCAACGAAACAUGUCAUUAUAUUAAGGAAACUAAAUUACAAACAAAAUUUUUUAGUUCAUAAUACCCUACACCACUUUAGUGGGGAGUGUAUAUUGGGUUUGUGCAGAUGUUUGUAAAGCACAAUAAUGUUAUACCUGUAUCCACCUUAAAGUAUACCAAUCGGUUUAGAAUAAUUUUCUGAGUCGAUUUAGAUAUGUCCGUCCGUCCAUGUAAAUCAUACUACCGGUCGCAAUUUUAAAGAUAAGUCAAUGAAAUUUGACACAUGAUAUUCUAUUGUACUAGAGACGAAGUCUAUUGAAAAUAGUUAAGGUCGGUCAAUUAUUUCACCUAGCUCCCAUACAACUGAACUCCCGAAUAGUGCUCUUAAGCUCCUAAUAUACUCAUAUCUCAACAAAAAGCUGCAAAACCAAGUUCUAUACAAGCCUUGAUGACCCUGUACAAUUUUAUAGCGAUAAGGCCUCAUUUGACCCUAGCCCCUUUACAAAGCCCCAUUAAAAAAAUGUCUUAAAUAUCCACAAUUUUAUUCAACAAUAAAUAACUGAGGGAGGGUACAAUUUAACUUAAAUGGUUUAUUUUAAUUUUUUUUUUUUAAUUUAUUAUUAUAAAUGGUGUAAGGUAUUAUUAUAUGGUCAACCUCGUCCCACAAUAAAUUCUUACUUGUUUUGUUAAUGAAAAGAUUUCGUUAUAUUAACGAAAUUUUGUAAUUCGUUGAAACAACAAUGAAACAAUUUUCAUUAAUACAAUGAUAUACAUCUAUAAAAAACGUAGUUUUUACGAAGGUUUUUUUACAGUGUAAAUUUUUGUAACUUAUCAAUAGAGAGUUAGACAGAUGGACACCUUUGUGGGUCUCAGAAUGACAAAAUAAAAAUAGCCCCGAUUUUUUUUUAUCAAAUAUAAAUAAUUUUCCAAGAAAAACUAAAAAUUAUUAAAAAAAAAAAACUGGAAAAAAUGCAUUCAAUACAAAACACUGUGCUUGCGUCAAGUGAAUUUUUGGGUUGUGGAUGUAUGAGAACAAUUGUUUUUUUGCUGUUUUUGUAUAUCAUACAUAUACAGGGAGACCUAUACUCGUUAAAGUUUAUAAAAGGGUUUGAGUCUGGGUUAGGAGAACACAAUAGCAACAACAAUAACAAUGAAAAAAGUAAUUACAUAUGAAUGUAUAUAAAUAUAUGUUCAUAUGUAUGUAUCUAUAUAUGUAUGUAUGUGAUUUUGUAUUAUAUACUUUUGUAUAUAAGUUUAGUUUGUUGGUAAGUUUGUGGCGGUGAUGAUAGUAAAAAAAAUAUACAGAAGGAAAGCAAAAGUAAUACCAACACUAACACAUUAAAUCUCUAAUAAAGCCCGAAUAAGAGCGAAAACAUUGUCGUGUUAUAGGUAUAUACGAGAGAUUAAGUUUGUGUUUUUUUUUUUUUUUUUUUCAAAAUAAGGCAAAAAAUGUAAAUAAAAAUGAAAUAGAAAAAACAAACACUGAGAGAAAAGUUUACUGUACAGAGGAGAUUGAGGAAAAAAACCAACGAGUAAUUGCACUAAAUGAGCGAGUGAGUACAUUGUGUUUUUUAUUGUUGUUAGGAUUUCAGAUAACAACAACUUGCUCUCACAGUGAAAGCUAAAAGCAAAAUAAAGAAAGAAAGAAAAUACAAGAUUGGGUCAGGGGUCUUAGUUAGUGGAAAAAAAGGGCCCCGAUUUUACACAAACCCCUUGUAAAGAAAGUGAUAAGAAAACAAUAAUAAUAAAAAAGCGAAAUAAAGAAUAAGAAAAAUAAAAAAAAUUAUAGUAAAAAGUAAACACAAACAUUUUUUAAGGACUAAAAAAUAAAUUUUUAAUUUUUCAAAAAAAAAAAAUUAUUAGAAAAAUUAUUAGUUUUUAUAAGUUUCAACAAAAUUACACACCAAAAAAAAAUAAUAAUAAAAACAACCAUAUAGUAUUAUUCCCCAUAAACAAGAACAAAAUAACGUAGAAUGAGUACUAGACAGUAGAAACGAUUUUAAACGAAUCAACGUCGCUUGUUAUAUAUUUUUGUUGCUGUUGUUGUUGUUGUUAGUGUAGCUGUUGUUGCUGAAAACGAAGGUAGAGAACUAAACUAAACUUUCCAUAUGGUCUGCUGGUGAUGACUGUGGCAUUGAGAACUGAAACCUUUGUGUGAUCGUACGAAACGGAUAUAAGCGGCAUCCAAAUAACAAGCAGUAGCAGCAGCAACAACAACAACAAAAACCAUUAAAAAAAGAAAUUGUAAAAAACACACACAUACAUACCAAAAUACUCUAGCAACAGAAAUUUAAUAAAAAAUUACUUAAAAGUAAAUAAAAAUUUUAUUAAAAAAAUACAAAUAAUUAAAGAAAAAUCAAUAAAACUUUUAUUAAAAAAAAUUAGAAAAAUUAUUUAUAAAUUUAAAUUUGUUUGAAAAUGUUACAAAAAAGUGUUUAAAACAUUACAAUUCCAUAACAAUUUAAUUGAUGUGCCAAAUUAAAAAAAAAAAACAAAAAACAAAAUUGACAAACCCUUAAGUUGUUCAAAGUUUUCCCCUCCUCUUCCUUCUGCAACUACACAUACCCAAAUAUUAUAAAAUCCAAAUGUUUUGAACGGAAAUUACACAUUCAAAAUCAAAAACUGAAAUCAAUGACAUUGACAGAAGCAAGUAGCAGCAGCGAAAAUGUCAACAUGCUAAUGCAAUUUUACUUCCAACGUCAAAGACAAGGCAACAAAAAGAAAAACAACAUGGCGAAAGAUGUUAAAACAUUAGACCAUCUAUCCAUGCAUCCAUACAUCCAACCAUCCAGCCAGGCAUCAGCCAUUUAACCAGCCAAAUUUAAAUUGUUUCGCGUGUGUGUUUAGUAUAGAGAAAAAAAAAAGUAAAGUUUUAUGAGCGGAUGUUUUGGGGCAAUAUAGGUUACGCAUACAAAUGAAUAAUGGUGCACAACUCAUACCCGGGAUGCAUUUAAUGUCAAAGUACAAAUGGCAACAACAACAUCAACAUCAGCGCCAAUAAAUGUGGAAAAUGACUUUGACAUGCGCAACUGCACUUGAACCUGAAAUUUCAAUUUCGCCAAUGGCUGGGUGGGUGACCGGGUAUAUACACAAUAGCAACAACAAUAACAGCCCACUAUAUUGAAAGUGAAAUUUUUGGAAAUGAAAAGUGCAAGUGUAGGUAUUAAUAAAAACAACAGGAAUGUUUUAACUUGGUUUGGCAGCAUUGUUUUGGAAAUUUAAGAAACACACAGGAGAAACAACAAAAACAAAGCCUUAGCUAA